RNAcentral lists this transfer RNA (73 nucleotides) under Mustela putorius furo (domestic ferret). It matches the Rfam family "tRNA". Rfam says of the family: Transfer RNA (tRNA) molecules are approximately 80 nucleotides in length. Their secondary structure includes four short double-helical elements and three loops (D, anti-codon, and T loops). The record is from Rfam by way of RNAcentral. Lineage: Eukaryota; Metazoa; Chordata; Mammalia; Carnivora; Mustelidae.
ACCUGGCUUGCUCAACGUGAAGAGCGUGGGACUCUUGAUCUCAGGAUUGUGAGUUCAAGUCCCAUGUUAGUUU